GGACGGGAGGGCAGUCUGGCUUUGACAUCUGUCACCCCGAUGAUCGCCAGGAUUGAUUCAGCUGAUCUGGCUGGCUAGGCAGGUGUCCCCUUCCUUCCUCACUGGUCCACAUUCAUCCCUCCCAAAGUAGAUGGCCUUCCUCCCAGAGGAGAGGACUGAUCUUCAGUCAAGGGUAUAUGAGUAGCUGCUAGAACCUCCAAAGAAGCUGUCAAGGUCCAUUUUUAGGAGAACAUAGCGUAGUCAAGACUCCAGACAUAUAAGUGAGGCACUGCACGCAGAAGUCAGUCGGCCUUU
This 294-nucleotide small nuclear RNA is filed under the name Myotis davidii. RNAcentral's name for it is "7SK RNA". It matches the Rfam family "7SK RNA". From Rfam's summary of the family: 7SK was discovered as an abundant small nuclear RNA in the mid-70s but a possible function has only recently been suggested. The record is from Rfam by way of RNAcentral. Lineage: Eukaryota; Metazoa; Chordata; Mammalia; Chiroptera; Vespertilionidae.